CUGGCUCAGAAUGAACGUUGGCGGCGUGGAUUAGGCAUGCAAGUCGAGCGAGAAGCCUCCUUCGGGGGGUGGAUAGCGGCGAAAGGGAGAGCAAUGCAUGGAUAUCAACCCUGAGGUCUGGGAUAGCCGCGGGAAACUGCGGGUAAUACCGGAUGAUGUCUCCGGACCAAAGCUCCGGCGCCUCGGGACGAGUCCAUGUCCUACUAGCUUGUUGGUGAGGUAACGGCUCACCAAGGCUGCGAUGGGUAGCGGGCGUGAGAGCGUGGCCCGCCUCACUGGGACUGAGACACUGCCCAGACACCUACGGGUGGCUGCAGUCGAGAAUCUUCCGCAAUGGACGCAAGUCUGACGGAGCGACGCCGCGUGCGGGAUGAAGGCCUUCGGGUUGUAAACCGCUGUCAGUGGGGAGGAAAUUUUGACCGAUCCGCAGAGGAAGUCCGGGCUAAGUUCGUGCCAGCAGCCGCGGUAAGACGAACCGGACGAACGUUAUUCGGAAUCACUGGGCUUAAAGGGUGCGUAGGCGGCGCGGCAAGUCGGGUGUGAAAGCCCUCAGCUCAACUGAGGAAUUGCGCCUGAAACUGCUGUGCUAGAGGGAGGCAGAGGUGAGCGGAACUUGCGGUGGAGCGGUGAAAUGCGUUGAUAUCGCGAGGAACACCAGUAGCGAAAGCGGCUCACUGGGCCUCUUCUGACGCUGAGGCACGAAAGCUAGGGGAGCGAACGGGAUUAGAUACCCCGGUAGUCCUAGCCGUAAACUCUGAGCACUGGGUUGGAGGCUCCUCCAUAGGCUUCCAGCCGUAGCGAAAGUGUUAAGUGCUCCGCCUGGGGAGUAUGGUCGCAAGGCCGA
RNAcentral lists this ribosomal RNA (844 nucleotides) under uncultured organism. Its description in RNAcentral is "bacterial SSU rRNA". It matches the Rfam family "Bacterial small subunit ribosomal RNA", at positions 19 to 897 of the family's 1533-position model. The record is from RNAcentral.